Molecule: non-coding RNA, 3730 nt
Organism: Oryza sativa Japonica Group (Japanese rice)
Lineage: Eukaryota; Viridiplantae; Streptophyta; Magnoliopsida; Poales; Poaceae
Source: RefSeq, a predicted model, not a curated record
ACGGGCGGGCGGAGCGGCGGCGGAGGUGGGGGCCAGAGGAGGAGGUCCGCCGGCGAUCCGAAUCCGGAGCCGACGGCGAUUUUCGCCGCGUCGCCGCCUGCGAUGACUGAAGCGGUGCCUGCGUCGGGGGCGCAGGCGAUAUGCGUUUUGUCGGACCUAAGGCGAAAAGAUGAGAAAAAAAAUUAAUCCCAUGUCAAAAUUACCCCUAAGCUGUAUUAAGAGAUUACUAAUCUACACUUUAAAAUAAACGGUCGAGAUUAAUUCUACUUGCAGUAGAAUACUGCAGGUAGAAUACAUUGGAGCAUUACUCUCCGUAUAAUAAUGGAGGUUUGGCGCAGCGUAGUAAUAGUGCCACCAUGAGUGCUUACUUCCAAACCGUACUGACCACGGGAUAUUGCCAGUUUGCCACCUCGCGUCAUGGAUCGCCCUUUUGCAAAUGGAGCAUUAUCCGUGCGAUGGAAUUGACAAAUUUCCACAAGAGUUAAUGGAGUGCAUGGAGGACAGUUGACGUUUACUUUGACAAGUAAACAAGACUAGCAUAAGCUACUGCAUGCACACACCCUCCUGGUCUCCCAGUCCCUUCCCUCUACUAUCUUCUCUGUUUUUUUUUCCCUGCUAGUUCAUCCUGUCGCCAACGUGCCAGUCUCUGUCUGAAACUCACAUACUCUCUCUGCAAUAUGAUUCCAGAUGCAUGCGUAGACGAAAAACCAACCGAUACUCAACUUCCUCCAAGCAGCUAAGACAUCGAUCGAGGACGCAUCACGCAUCCAUUCCCGGCUAGCUGUUCGAAAAUGGCGCGGCCGUGGUGCCCCGACGACGCUUACGCCUGCCUCUCCCUCCUCCUCCUGCUCCUCCUUCCUGCAGCCAUGGCCACGUCGUACUCCUCUCUCUGCAGCUUCCCCGCCGAGGCCGCCGACCUCGUCGUCACCGCCGGAGAACACCAGUCCAUCGCGGACCGGCUCAAUCUUCCCUUGCCCUCCGACGGUUACUUCUCCGGCGGCGACAAGCUCCUCUUCGCCUCCGACGACCACCGCCUCCCACGUUCCUUCUCCUUCUUCACUCGCCGCGCGGCCCGCACCACCGACCCCGCCAUCACCCACCUCGUCGCCACGGUCACCCUCUCCGGCUACCGCUUCUUCGGCGGGCGCUCGUGGCGCACCAACGUUAGCGCCCACUCCGUGUCGUUCGACCUCGAAGGUUACUACUCCAACGACUCUGCCUCGGCGGCGCUCUGCAUGGUCGGGUCAGGCUCCCGCGCAAGAGACGACGGCUUGGGUGUCGUCAUCAUCCCGGACGUCGCCCUCCGCCUCCGGCUGCCGCGCCCCGCCACCCUCACGCGGCCCUUCGUCACCGGCCGCCUCGAGGGCCCGGACUUCGGCGCCGUCACCCUCGUUGCGUACGCCGAGGGUGACUACAAGUACGGUGAGGCCGCCUCCUGCCCGACGCCGCCCGGCGCCGUGCGGUCCGAGAGCAAGGUGUUCGACGGAAACUUCACGUGCGACCGUCUCGGGGCGCUGCUCCGAGGCUCCUACACCAUGGAGUACGCGGAGGGACGCGCGCCGAGCGGCUUCCCUCUGCGCCAACGCCUUCGCAGCAUGCACAUCAGCGAGAUUUACUGCGGCGAGAACGGCGCCGUGCGCGCGUACAUGGUGUUCGACUUCGACGACGCCUCAUCGGACGCCAUUCUUCUAGGCAUCCACGAAGCGCCGUGGAGGCGUGGCUUCCAGGCCGACGGGGACGAGGCGCUCGUCGCCGACGGGUUCUGGAAACCGUCCCAGGGACGGCUCUGCCUCAGGGCGUGCCGCACCGUGCGCUCGACGGUGCGCGAGAGCGACUGCGGCAUCCGGAUCCACUUCUGGUUCCCGGCCGUGUGGUCGAUCCAGCAACGGAGCUUCGUAGCCGGGAUGAUCCGGAACACGAGGAGCGACGACGACGGCGACACGAACAAAAUGUCCGGCGCGAUAUCGGUGUCAAGAACUGGCUUCAGGGGCGAUCUCUCCGACAUCAAGUACCAUUACACCAGAGUGGAGGACGCCAAGAACUACUACCACUCCAACCCAGAGCUGAGCAAGGAGAGGAACGGCAGGUUUCCGGGGAACUACUCCUACCGGGACUUCGCGUUCAGUUUGUACAUCACGACACACGGCGGAUACGGGUACGCCUCGCCGGUCACGCUCGGUUCCGCCAUGGUUGACGGUGGCACGCUGACGGCCGACGACGCGUUCUCUCGCCACGCUGUGGCAGAGAUGAUCAAGCAGAGGCUCCUGAGUGUCAGCUACGAAUUCGAUAUCCACCUCUAUCGUCGCGUGAAUUCAUCCAGGGCGUGGAAUGUGUCGCGUGUGCCUGAUCGGUGGCGCGUCUCGGCGGAAGGCGUUUAUGAUACCAAGUCAGGUACCCUGUGCAUGGUAGGUUGCCGAGUGAUCAACAGUUCGUCGGACUGUCAGAUCCUAGUGACCGUGCAACUCCCUGCGCUGGGCGGCGAGGACGGCACUGGGUCAAUCAGCAGCCUGAGGAAGAAGAGUGACACCCUCUUCUUCGAGACGCUUGGUUUUGCUGCGUAUGGUGCGCAGCCCGCCAUAGAGGCGGCCCAGGCGAUCUCGAGGGUGGACACGGAGCGCAUCAUGCUGGUGACCUCCAUGACGCUGUCCUGCGUCUUCCUCGUCCUGCAGCUGCGCCACGCCAGGAAGAACCCCGACGCGCUCCCGGCCACGUCGAUCACCAUGCUCGCCGUCCUGGCCCUGGGUUACAUGAUCCCUCUCGUGGUCAACUACGAGGCCAUGUUCGUGGACGACGGCGGCAGCAGAAACAGGCACUUCAUCGAGCUGGCGAGGGGCGGCCGCCGGUGGCUCGAGCUGAACGAGUUCGUGCUGAGGCUCAGCACCAUGGUGGCGUUCGUGCUGCAGCUGCGCCUCCUGCUUCUCGCGUUGUCCGCGAGAUCAACGGCCGGAGCGAGCGGCGGCGGGGACGACCGGUGGGCAGCCGAGCGGAGCACGCUCUGGAUAUGCCUGCCCCUAUACAUCGCCGGAGCCAUCCUGAUCUGGAUCCCCCACAUCGGUGACGGGCACGAUCAUCAGCCGUUGGCCAGAUGAAGUCCGCCAUCCACGUGCCGCCGCCGCCGCCGCCGCCGCUGUCGGACGACCUCCUCUCCUACGCCGGCCUGAUACUGGACGGGUUCCUGCUGCCCCAGAUCGUGUCCAACGCGUUCUCGGCCUCCAGGGUGAACGCCAUCUCGCCGUGGUUCUACGUGGGCGGCACCGCGAUCCGCGCGGCGCCUCACGCGUACGACGGGCUCAGGGCUCGGGGGUACGUGCAGAGGUGGAUCCCGUCCUACAUCGACGUCUACGCGGGGCCUCGUGACGGGCUCUUCAGCGUCGCGUGGGACGUCGUGAUACCGUGCGGGGCGGCGGCGCUGGCCGUGCUGCUCUUCUUUCAGCAGCGGCUCGGAGGUGAUUUCCUGUGUUGUGUGAAGAGAAGGAAGCCGGGGGGAUCAUACGAGAUAGUCUCGACGUCAACACUUUAACUGUUGACCGGCAAUCCGUGGCAUUCGUAGACAUUAGUGCGGUUUGAAUAAACAAUACAGGGGGCGCAAUUAGGGCCCGGGCGCCGGACGUCCUAUAUUUACACGGAAUUGCAACUCAUGUUUAAAAAUGCGUCAAAUUUAGUGUGGGACAUUAAAAAAAUAAUCUUUGCUAGAAUGAUAUCGAAAAAACGUGGUUUUGCUAGUACACUA